CCUACGGGAGACAGCAGUGAGGAAUAUUGGUCAAUGGGCGCAAGCCUGAACCAGCCAAGUCGCGUGAAGGAUGAAGGCCCUACGGAUUGUAAACCUCUUUUAUAAGGGAAUAAAGUGCGGCACGUGUGCCUUUUUGUAUGUACCUUAUGAAUAAGGAUCGGCUAACUCCGUGCCAGCAGCCGCGGUAAUACGGAGGAUCCGAGCGUUAUCCGGAUUUAUUGGGUUUAAAGGGAGCGUAGAUGGGUUGUUAAGUCAGUUGUGAAAGUUUGCGGCUCAACCGUAAAAUUGCAAUUGAUACUGGCAGGCUGGAGUACAGUUGAGGUAGGCGGAAUGCGUGGUGUAGCGGUGAAAUGCUUAGAUAUCACGCAGAACUCCGAUUGCGAAGGCAGCUUACCAAGCCGUGACUGACACUGAUGCUCGAAAGUGUGGGUAUCAAACAGGAUUAGAUACCCUUGUAGUC
Molecule: ribosomal RNA, 460 nt
Filed under: uncultured bacterium
Lineage: Bacteria
Description: partial 16S ribosomal RNA
Rfam family: Bacterial small subunit ribosomal RNA
Source: RNAcentral